Schistocerca gregaria is the source of this 1200-nucleotide long non-coding RNA. RefSeq lists it as uncharacterized. The record is from RefSeq and is a predicted model, not a curated record. The transcript is spliced from 3 exons. NCBI's taxonomy places the organism in Eukaryota, Metazoa, Arthropoda, Insecta, Orthoptera, Acrididae.
AAUACCGGCUGUCAUUUACAUCGAGCCAAGUGCUGGGUAUCUCAGCCGUCUCUUUGCAACUGUUAACCUUGCAUAACAUAUUACUUCAGUAAUCACACAUAAGAAAUGCGCUAGCUCGGUAACUCAUUUUAAAUGGAAGCAUGUGCUAUUCAAACUACUGUAAUUCCUAAUCACAUAACCUCCACACAAAUAACACGCAUUAGCCGUUAACACAGUAAACGUGCCAGUGUCUAACAAGUAGCCUCGAUUUGUAGCAUUAACGCGGUUUGUUGCUUCACAACUGAUCAAAUUCCAUAUUGACUCUAUAUUACAGCUGAAUUCCUACUCAAAUACAGUGUUAUGCUCGCCAUGCGCCUAGCAUUUUUUUUUAGUGUUGUCAGUUUACUAAUCUCUCUCUCUCUACUGGGACAGUCAUUUGUUUAACUUCUGUUGAUCAACCGGCAUUGCCAAGGUUGCACAUGCACUUUACGAACGCCGAUCAACGCGUUUUCACCUUAGUUUGUUGCGUAGACCGUGUGUGUUGCGAUGUAUCAUAGCGACUGACAGGAGGUAUUUGACAGUCGUUUGCAAAUGUGGACGAUUUUUUAAAACCUUUCUUGUGGCUGGUACCCGUACAAAACUUGCUGCCAGUGACCUAAUGUUAACUCAAUAAAUGUUUUAGGACGCUACGUCCUAAGUUUUCAGAAAACUCCCAGUAAAGAAGUAAAUAAAUAUUUGCAAAAAUACUUCAUAUGUGUUGUCUAGGAAAUUUGGUGAUUGUGAAGUGUUUUCCUGAAGAGAUGUCGUAUAAUUAGUGAUUCGUUGUUACAAUUAACAGCCGUCUGUUUUAACUUCGAUGAUGGGUUGGAUACAAAACUGCUCUCAGGUUCCAGGGAAUAACUGCUGUAAACAGAUCAUAUUUAAGGUGCUUCAUACAUGAAGGAAUCCUGAAAUGACAGUAUGCAGCAUGAUGUUAAAAUGCAUUUGGAAUUUCGUCUCAAAGGUGAUCCCUCCGUGGCUGUACUCAGACUUCUUCCUUUGUUCAUUUGGUGGUUCUAUUCACAUGUCUAGUUCAUAUACUUGCAAAAGUAACACACUGUGUCUCACAAUGAAAAGUGACAGAUUUCUGAAUGUCAUUAUCUUUUUAUUCAUUAUAACAUGCAUAAAUGAGGCAAUGUUACUACUUGUUUUCAUAACUUGAAAUACAUAUAUUUUGAUGCA